This 109-nucleotide small nucleolar RNA is filed under the name Salvator merianae (Argentine black and white tegu). The record is from RNAcentral. Lineage: Eukaryota; Metazoa; Chordata; Lepidosauria; Squamata; Teiidae.
CACCAGGGAUGACUUGCCAUGCUAAUACCGAGGCAUCGCAUGGGGCCGUUGGCUCUAAACGCGGGUGCCAGUGAGUUAAGCUUGCUUCUCACGGGAAGAACUGAGGUGU